Molecule: signal recognition particle RNA, 301 nt
Filed under: Aplysia californica (California sea hare)
Lineage: Eukaryota; Metazoa; Mollusca; Gastropoda; Aplysiida; Aplysiidae
Description: Metazoan signal recognition particle RNA
Rfam family: Metazoan signal recognition particle RNA
About the family: The signal recognition particle (SRP) is a universally conserved ribonucleoprotein. It is involved in the co-translational targeting of proteins to membranes.
Source: Rfam by way of RNAcentral
GCUGGGAGUUGUGGCGUGCUCCUGUAAUCCAGCUACUUUGGAGGCUUGAGUCGGAGGACGGUUUGAGUGCGGGGGUUCUGCUCUCGGGCGUGCCAUGUCGAUCGGGUGUCCGCACUAAGCCCGGCAUUAAUAUGGUGAUCUUGUAGGAAUACGAGAUUUCCAGGUUGACUAAGGAGGGACGAACCGGCCCAGGGGGGAAACCCAGCAGGCAAAAGUCCCCGUGUCGCGCAGUAGUGGGAUCGCACCCGUGAAUGGGCGUUCGUUGGCAGCCCGUCCGAUAUAAUCGGACCCGGCUCUUAUU